AAAAAAAAUAAAAGCAAAAAAAAAAAAAAAACUCCUGGAUUUUGAAACCAAAAUGCCGUCACCUCGACUAAUAAUCUUGCCUGUG
This 85-nucleotide small RNA is filed under the name Heterosigma akashiwo. Its description in RNAcentral is "partial transfer-messenger RNA". Lineage: Eukaryota; Raphidophyceae; Chattonellales; Chattonellaceae. The record is from RNAcentral.